UUAAGCGACUAAGCGUACACGGUGGAUGCCUAGGCAAUCAGAGGCGAUGAAGGACGUGCUAAUCUGCGAUAAGCGUCGGUAAGGUGAUAUGAACCGUUACAACCGACGAUUUCCGAAUGGGGAAACCCAGUGCAAUCCGUUGCACUAUCGUUUGAUGAAUACAUAGUCAAACGAAGCGAACCGGGGGAACUGAAACAUCUCAGUACCCCGAGGAAAAGAAAUCAACCGAGAUUCCCCUAGUAGCGGCGAGCGAACGGGGAGCAGCCCAGAGUCUUAAUCAGCAUUAGCAUCAGGAGAACGGUCUGGAAAGUCCGGCAGUAAAGGGUGAUAGCCCCGUAUCCGAAGGUGUUAGUGUUGUGAACUCGACGAGUAGGGCGGGACACGUGUUAUCCUGUCUGAAUAUGGGGGGACCAUCCUCCAAGGCUAAAUACUCCUGAUUGACCGAUAGUGAACCAGUACCGUGAGGGAAAGGCGAAAAGAACCCCGGCGAGGGGAGUGAAAUAGAACCUGAAACCGUGUACGUACAAGCAGUGGGAGCCUUGAUUUAUCAGGGUGACUGCGUACCUUUUGUAUAAUGGGUCAGCGACUUAUAUUCUGUAGCAAGGUUAACCGAAUAGGGGAGCCGUAGGGAAACCGAGUCUUAACUGGGCGAAUAAGUUGCAGGGUAUAGACCCGAAACCCGGUGAUCUAGCCAUGGGCAGGUUGAAGGUUGGGUAACACUAACUGGAGGACCGAACCGACUAAUGUUGAAAAAUUAGCGGAUGACUUGUGGCUGGGGGUGAAAGGCCAAUCAAACCGGGAGAUAGCUGGUUCUCCCCGAAAGCUAUUUAGGUAGCGCCUCGUGAACUCAUCUUCGGGGGUAGAGCACUGUUUCGACUAGGGGGUCAUCCCGACUUACCAACUCGAUGCAAACUACGAAUACCGAAGAAUGUUAUCACGGGAGACACACGGCGGGUGCUAACGUUCGUCGUGAAGAGGGAAACAACCCAGACCGCCAGCUAAGGUCCCAAAGUCAUAGUUAAGUGGGAAACGAAGUGGGAAGGCUCAGACAGCCAGGAUGUUGGCUUAGAAGCAGCCAUCAUUUAAAGAAAGCGUAAUAGCUCACUGGUCGAGUCGGCCUGCGCGGAAGAUGUAACGGGGCUAAACUAUGCACCGAAGCUGCGGCAGCGAACGUAUCACUUAAACUGAUUAAGUGAUACUCAAAUGUAUCAAAACGAUUGACGGAGCGAAGCGACGUCAAUGCGUCCAACAAAGUCGAGGCGGAAACGUCAGGCAGUCAGUUUAAGGAUACGUUCGUUGGGUAGGGGAGCGUUCUGUAAGCCUGUGAAGGUUUGCUGUGAGGCAUGCUGGAGGUAUCAGAAGUGCGAAUGCUGACAUAAGUAACGAUAAUGCGGGUGAAAAACCCGCACGCCGGAAGACCAAGGGUUCCUGUCCAACGUUAAUCGGGGCAGGGUGAGUCGACCCCUAAGGCGAGGCAGAAAUGCGUAGUCGAUGGGAAACGGGUUAAUAUUCCCGUACUGGUGAUAAUUGCGAUGGGGGGACGGAGAAGGCUAGGCUAUCCGGGCGACGGUUGUCCCGGUUUAAGGAUGUAGGCAGGUGAAUUAGGCAAAUCCGGUUCACUAUAUGCUGAGGUCCGAUGACGAGUCACUACGGUGAUGAAGUAGCUCAUGCCCCGCUUCCAGGAAAAGCCUCUAAGCUCUAGAUUAUCAUUAAUCGUACCCCAAACCGACACAGGUGGUCAGGUAGAGAAUACUCAGGCGCUUGAGAGAACUCGGGUGAAGGAACUAGGCAAAAUGGUGCCGUAACUUCGGGAGAAGGCACGCUGGCAUUAGGUGAAGUGAUUUACUCAUGGAGCUGAAGCCAGUCGCAGAUACCAGCUGGCUGCAACUGUUUAUUAAAAACACAGCACUGUGCAAACACGAAAGUGGACGUAUACGGUGUGACGCCUGCCCGGUGCUGGAAGGUUAAUUGAUGGGGUUAUCCGUAAGGAGAAGCUCUUGAUCGAAGCCCCAGUAAACGGCGGCCGUAACUAUAACGGUCCUAAGGUAGCGAAAUUCCUUGUCGGGUAAGUUCCGACCUGCACGAAUGGCGUAAUGAUGGCCAGGCUGUCUCCACCCGAGACUCAGUGAAAUUGAACUCGCUGUGAAGAUGCAGUGUACCCGCGGCAAGACGGAAAGACCCCGUGAACCUUUACUAUAGCUUGACACUGAACAUUGAGCCUUGAUGUGUAGGAUAGGUGGGAGGCUUGAAGCGUGGACGCCAGUCUGCGUGGAGCCAACCUUGAAAUACCACCCUUUAAUGUUUGAUGUUCUAACGUUGCCCCAUUAUCUGGGGUGCGGACAGUGUCUGGUGGGUAGUUUGACUGGGGCGGUCUCCUCCCAAAGAGUAACGGAGGAGCACGAAGGUUGGCUAAGCAUGGUCGGACAUCAUGCGGUUAGUGCAAAGGCAUAAGCCAGCUUGACUGCGAGAGUGACGGCUCGAGCAGGUACGAAAGUAGGUCUUAGUGAUCCGGUGGUUCUGAAUGGAAGGGCCAUCGCUCAACGGAUAAAAGGUACUCCGGGGAUAACAGGCUGAUACCGCCCAAGAGUUCAUAUCGACGGCGGUGUUUGGCACCUCGAUGUCGGCUCAUCACAUCCUGGGGCUGAAGUAGGUCCCAAGGGUACGGCUGUUCGCCGUUUAAAGUGGUACGCGAGCUGGGUUUAGAACGUCGUGAGACAGUUCGGUCCCUAUCUGCCGUGGGCGUUGGAAGAUUGAAAGGGGCUGCUCCUAGUACGAGAGGACCGGAGUGGACGCACCACUGGUGUUCGGGUUGUCAUGCCAAUGGCAUUGCCCGGUAGCUAAGUGCGGAAGAGAUAACCGCUGAAAGCAUCUAAGCGGGAAACUUGCCUUGAGAUGAGUCUUCCCUGACCCUUAAAGGGUCCUAAAGGAACGUUUAAGACUAAGACGUUGAUAGGUUGGGUGUGUAAGCGUAGCGAUACGUUGAGCUAACCAAUACUAAUGAACCGUGAGGCUUAACCUG
This 3019-nucleotide ribosomal RNA is filed under the name Providencia rettgeri. RNAcentral's name for it is "bacterial LSU rRNA". It matches the Rfam family "Bacterial large subunit ribosomal RNA". Lineage: Bacteria; Pseudomonadati; Pseudomonadota; Gammaproteobacteria; Enterobacterales; Morganellaceae. The record is from RNAcentral.